UCAAAUUAUACAGCACAGGCCAGGCAGGAUGGCUCAGGCCUGUAAUCCCAGCACUUUGGGAGGCCAAGGCUGGUGGAUUGCCUGAGGUCAGGAGUUCGAGACCAGCCUGGCCAACAUGAUGAAAUUCCAUCUCUACUAAAAAUGCAAAAAUUAGCCGGGUAUGGUGGGGCGUGCCUGUAAUCCCAGGUACUUGGGAGGCUGAGGCAUGAGAAUUGCUUGCACCCAGGAGGCAGGGGUUGCAGUGAGCCAAAAUCACGCCACUGCUCUCUGUCCUGGGUGACAGAGAGAGACUCUGUCUCAAAACAAAAGCAAAACCAAACGAAACAAAAAAAUUAUAGUCUUCCUCAUCCAGCAUCAACAAGAAAUAAAUAUUUUGCAGAAUUAAAUUUCUCAGCCCUUUUAGAGACACCAUUUUAUGAAAACCUUUUUAUGUAUUUAUUUUUAAAGAAAGCAAUUGAUGGUUUGGUUUGAACAUGACAAAAGGUUGAUCUUUUUAUUUUCCAUGACCAUAGUUAUGCAAUUAUCAUAUUAAGAUUUAAAUAUAAUCAUGGAAAACUAUUGGCAUAGAUAAGACAGUCUCAUUUGGCUCUUCACAAAAUUGCUCCAUUUUGUGCUAUAUUUUCUCUUAAAUGCUUUUUUCGUCUACUUUCUUGCAAGCUUUUCACCAUCAGUAGUUUGCGCUUCCCUUUACUCAAGCACUCCCUCUGGCUUCUGGCUUUAGAGUAUUGAAUCCUUAAAACACCGAGCAUAUAUUUAUUUGGACUUUUUCAUUUUUCAUAACUGAUGAACUCAUUUUAUGAAUAAUUGCAUAUUCCAUUACAUUGCAAAUGCAUGCACCCAUGGUGACCUUGAACAAUGCUUUGCAGUUGUAUUGCAAUUACUUUCUCUGUCUGUUCAGAUCCAAAAUGGUUAAAUAUAGAGAUCGAACCUGAAAUAUUAACCAUCUUGGUGUUCAAAUAAAAUAUAUAUUUAGCUUUGUAUAGAGUAGGGAUUGAGGCUCUUCAUCUUCCUCUGGUUUUCAUCUUCCUCUGGAAAUUUGGUAGGAUAUGUGCACAACAGAUCUUUCCUGGCAGCCACUCCCAGAUCCCCUGGAGCUCCGGCUCAAGGCUCUCUGACUGACUCCUUCCCAGAUCUUCUCAGCUUAGCAGCUGAAGACAGACUGCCUGAUCACCUCGGAAGCCUACAGGACCAUCACAGAUGCUCUGGGUAACUCUCACAGUGGAAGGUAAGUGCAUCCCCUUCUUAAUCAAUACGGAGGCAACCCACUCCACAUUAACUUCUUUUCAAAGGCCUGUUUCCCUUGCCUCCAUAACUGUUGUAGGUACUGACAGCCAGGCUUCUAAACCUCUUAAAACUCCCCAACUCUGGUGCCAACUUAGAAAAUACUCUUUUAAGCACUCCUUUUUAGUUAUCCCCACCUGCCCAGUUCCCUUAUUAGGCCGAGACACUUUAAACUUUCUGCUUCCCUGACUAUUCCUGGGCUACACGCUGCCUUUUCCCCCAGCUCAAAGCCUCCUUCACAUCCUCCCCUGUAUCUCCCCACCUUAGUCCACAAGUAUAAGAUACCUCUACUCCCUCCUUGGCAACCGAUCAUGCACCCGUUACCAUCUCUUUAAAACCUAAUCACCCUUACUGCACUUUAUCCCAUCCCACAGCACGCUUUAAAAGGAUUAAAGCCUGUUAUCACUCACCUGCUACAGCAUGACCUUUUAAAAGCUAUAAACUCUCCUUACAAUUCACCCAUUUCACCUGUCCUAAAACCAGACAAGGCUUACAGGUUAGUUCAGGAUCUGCGCCUUAUCAACCAAAUUGUUUUGCCUAUCCACCCCAUGUUGCCAAACCCAUAUACUCUCCUAUCCU
This 1860-nucleotide long non-coding RNA is filed under the name Homo sapiens (human). RNAcentral's name for it is "HSALNT0214244". The record is from RNAcentral. Lineage: Eukaryota; Metazoa; Chordata; Mammalia; Primates; Hominidae.